UACGUAGGGGGCAAGCGUUGUCCGGAAUCAUUGGGCGUAAAGAGCGUGUAGGCGGCCAGAUAAGUCCGCUGUGAAAUCUCGAGGCUCAACUUCGAGCUGUCGGUGGAAACUGUCUGGCUAGAGUCCGGAAGAGGAGAAUGGAAUUCCUGGUGUAGCGGUGAAAUGCGCAGAUAUCAGGAAGAACACCCGUGGCGAAGGCGGUUCUCUGGGCCUUACCUGACGCUGAGGAGCGAAAGCAUGGGGAGCAAACAGG
RNAcentral lists this ribosomal RNA (253 nucleotides) under uncultured bacterium. RNAcentral's name for it is "partial 16S ribosomal RNA". It matches the Rfam family "Bacterial small subunit ribosomal RNA", at positions 524 to 776 of the family's 1533-position model. The record is from RNAcentral.